CUGCUGUUUAUUGAUCGAGAAACCAAAAGAGAAUAUUUAGCAACAAGCAGCUAUUGAAUGCAUAACACCACAGGCUCCCCCUGGGCCCGGCAGCUGAGGUCAGCUUGUUGUGCCGUCGGCUUUACAGGGAAGAUGGAGCAGAAGAACUGGAGCUGCUCCAGGGCGGGGACAAGACUGUCACCGGACACGCUCGCCAGAUACUGAGGCAACGUGCGACAGGUCGUUGCUCGUCCCUAGUCAGAGGGAGCUCAAAGUGUCAGAACUUGAGCGUUUCAAAUCACAACCCUGGGGGCUGGCCCUGUGGCCCAGUGGUUAAGUUUGUGCACUCCGAUUUGGCGGUGCGGGAUUUCGCCAGUUCAGAUCCAGGGCGAGGACAUGGCACCACUCGUCAGGCCGUGCUGAGGUGGCCUCCCACAUAGCACAACCAGAAGGACCACAACUACAAUAUACAACUGUGUACUGGUGGGCUUUGGGGAGAAGAAGAAGAAGAAGAAAAAAAAAGAAGAUUGGAAUAGUUGUUAGCUCAGGUGCCAAUCAAAAAAAAAAAGAAUUAAAAAAAGAACAUAAAAUAAAAUCACAACCCUACUUAUAAUGAAAGACUGGUGAGGCCUAAAUGUAUGAAUUAAAAGUAAAAUCGGGGCGGGGGGGCCAGCCUGUGGCAUAGUUGUUAAUAAGUUGUUAUUAAAAAGGUGACCAUAUAAUUUAUUAUCCAAACCAGGACACUUCUGAGAGUGAAAGGGGGUGUUAUUAAUAAUCUCUCCAGGACAACAGGGUAAACCAAGACUGCCAGGGAAACCAAGCUCGCACGCUCUGCUUCGGUGGCCCAGGGUUUACAGGUUUGGAUCUUGGGCACAGACCUAGAUGCUGCUCAUCAAGCCAUGCUGUGGCAGCAUCCCACAUGCAAAAUAGGGGAAGACUGGCACAAAUGUUAGCUCAGGGCCAAUCUUCCUCACCCAAAAAAGAAAAAAAAAAGUAAAAUAGGGAUAUUAUUCACCUCAGAGAAUUGCUUUGAGGAGUCAAUCAAAUAACUUGUGUGUGGGGUGUAGGACAGUCUGGCUCAUUGUAGGCCUCAAAAUGGUGGUUACCUUAUGAGUUUACUUCUAGAGAAUCUGCUGAGGAGACACAAUGAAUGGAGAAGAGUCACUCUGAAGCUUUUUUCUCUGUCGCCAAGGAGGCAAAUCCCUGACACCCCUUCUUAGACCCCAGAGGAUUCUUCCUUAAUGGCCAACAGCUCAAAUCCACUCAGAGGACUAGGUCAAUAUUUAGAUGGAAAAGAUGUCACUCCCUCCUCACCAAAUGUCAACAAAUAGAAGGGCAAAAAUGUUUUUUUUUUUAAAAAAGAAGUUUCCUACAAGAUUUGUGCCUAUUAGUAAAUUUCCAUAGCUAAUGAUUUUUGUCAGUAAAAAAAAAUCUUUGUGAAAUACAUAAUAAAUAUUUCAUUUUUGGCAGUGAUGCAUGUGAGAAAAAUGAUAACAAUCUGUUCUUCACUUGUUGUGUUUCUGGUACAUAAGGGAACAGUUUCACAAACCAGUAAGUAUGCUGGUACAGACGCCAAUUAAGAUCAAUCUUCUCAAACGAAAUUAGGUGAAGCCCGUGGGCUGUUAGCUAAU
Long non-coding RNA from Equus caballus (horse), 1610 nucleotides. Lineage: Eukaryota; Metazoa; Chordata; Mammalia; Perissodactyla; Equidae. The record is from Ensembl.